Molecule: long non-coding RNA, 1518 nt
Organism: Homo sapiens (human)
Lineage: Eukaryota; Metazoa; Chordata; Mammalia; Primates; Hominidae
Gene: ARHGEF4-AS1
Product: ARHGEF4 antisense RNA 1
Source: Ensembl
GGCACACAGCAGAGCCGUCCACAGACCCGGCCCAGGGGCCGCCGGGAUCAUCCCGCCCAGUCGAGCUCUUGGGCCCCCUUGAAGCCUAGGAGUGUUUUCUCAGAGAGAAAGCAGCACGCUUCUUGCGCAUUUGCACAUCUCCAACGCAGCGCUUCGGCCUGUCCUCCGCACUGGAGACUCAGGUGCCUCCGCCCUCCUGAGAGCAGGGGCGGCCUCUCUGCUGAGAGUUCUGAUUGUCAAGCUCCCAGAACUUUCAGAGUUCAGUCCGCCCAGCGUUCUUGUUUACCAGUUGAGGAAACGGAGGCCCAGGGAGGCUGUGCAGCGCGCCGGCACUCACACACCUGGUGGGGACAAAUGUGGACUAGGAUAUCUGGGACCGAAGUCUUGGCCUCCAGCUCCCUCUUGCCUCCCACUUACCUUUCCAGGAAGAGGCCCACGAAAGCUAAGACCCCAAGGCCCAUGUGCACCAUACUGCAGCCCUGCUCUGUCCACCAUUUCUGAGAUCGGCGCCCCACAGAGGGAGAGCAUCUGCCCAGACUGGCUUUUUGCACCCCUGCUCAAGCCUGCACCCUCGUCCAAGUCCUAGCCCCACUGAACGCUAUGCCUGGUCAGCAGUGCGUGUCAGGGGUGCCUGGCAGAGUGUGCAUUUUCCGUACACCCAACCUGUCUCUGCCUCUCCCCAGGCCCUCACAGCAACCAGGCCAGGCGAGAAGCUUGGGAGAUAGAUACUCAGAGGAGGCACUGUGGGGCCAUCUGAAGAUCCUGCGUCCCCUGUCACAGCCUUUAUGUCACUCAGGGUCCAUGACUGUGCUAGAAGCAUGUCCCUGAGGCCCAUGGUGGUGGGAGGAGGGUGUGGGAUUCGGAUCUGGGCACCUGGCUGUGCUGCACACCAGUUGUGUAAUCAUGAUCAUCUGCUCUAAACACGUAUCUUUAACAUUCGAGAGGAAUGACCGCCUGGUGGGGUUGCCAUGGAGAGUACGUGAGAAAUUAAACCUCACAGGUGCUUAGCAAAAGUUAAUUCGCUCUUCUCUGAAGGCUUAAAGUGCUAAUCCCCUGGCGAGGGGGGAGGUCCAGUGAAAAUACACAACCCCUGGCCACAGGUUCCAUUGUUGUCUGGACUCCUCUGACCAGUGGACAGCCCUGGACCUGGGUUCUCAGACCUGAGUCAGAACCACGUGGAGGACACCAUAGAGCUUAGGCUGCUGCCCCUCACCGCUGCCCCCCUCUCACAGGAUCUGGGGUGGGGCCUGGGAAUUUGCAUUUUAACAUGUUUCCAAGUGACCCUGAAGCUGCUGGCCCUGGGACCACACUUAGAGAACCCCUGGUUCAGGCUAUGGGGCCUGGGCCAGGCUCGCCGUCUAGCAGAGGAUCAGACCCCAGGUUGGAGCAUAACCGUCAUGAUGGCUCCAUUCAUCAGGCACCUGCUGUGUCCCCGCACGCCCAGAUCCCUGCCACAGCGCAGCCUCCCUAGAGAAGUGACAUCCAAUGCUCGAGGGGAAAUAAAUCAAAGGUAGUUUA